AUACGGAGGGUGCAAGCGUUACUCGGAAUCACUGGGCGUAAAGCGCGCGCAGGCGGCUUGAUAAGUUGGAUGUGAAAGCCUACGGCUCAACCGUAGAACUGCAUCCAAAACUGUCAAACUAGAGUCUGGGAGGGGAAGAUGGAAUUAGUUGUGUAGGGGUAAAAUCCGUAGAGAUAACUAGGAAUACCAAAAGCGAAGGCGAUCUUCUGGAACAGUACUGACGCUGAGGCGCGAAAGCGUGGGGAGCAAACAGGAUUAGAAACCCUAGUAGUCC
Molecule: ribosomal RNA, 274 nt
Filed under: uncultured bacterium
Lineage: Bacteria
Description: partial 16S ribosomal RNA
Rfam family: Bacterial small subunit ribosomal RNA
Source: RNAcentral